This 380-nucleotide ribosomal RNA is filed under the name uncultured crenarchaeote. RNAcentral's name for it is "bacterial SSU rRNA". It matches the Rfam family "Archaeal small subunit ribosomal RNA", at positions 471 to 851 of the family's 1478-position model. The record is from RNAcentral. Lineage: Archaea; Thermoproteati; Thermoproteota.
UAAAACCAGCACCUCAAGUGGUCAGGAUGAUUAUUGGGCCUAAAGCAUCCGUAGCCGGCUCUGUAAGUUUUCGGUUAAAUCUGUACGCUCAACGUACAGGCUGCCGGGAAUACUGCAUAGCUAGGGAGUGGGAGAAGUAGACGGUACUCGGUAGGAAGUGGUAAAAUGCUUUGAUCUAUCGAUGACCACCUGUGGCGAAGGCGGUCUACUAGAACACGUCCGACGGUGAGGGAUGAAAGCUGGGGGAGCAAACCGGAUUAGAUACCCGGGUAGUCCCAGCUGUAAACUAUGCAAACUCAGUGAUGCAUUGGCUUGUGGCCAAUGCAGUGCUGCAGGGAAGCCGUUAAGUUUGCCGCCUGGGAAGUACGUACGCAAGUAUG